GUGAAUCAUCGAAUUUUUGAACGCAAAUUGCACUCUCUGGUAUUCCGGAGAGUAUGCCUGUUUGAGGGUCAGUUUAAAUAAAAAUCGGUGUGGUUGCUGCCUUUCGUGGUGACGCACCGGAUUUGGGUGGUCUUGCCUUCGGUUAAGUGACCUUAAAUUUGGCAUGAUUUUUCGAACGUAUUUAAAUGAUAUUACGUACGUUGGUGGUUUU
Molecule: unclassified non-coding RNA, 211 nt
Filed under: Glomeraceae sp.
Lineage: Eukaryota; Fungi; Glomeromycota; Glomeromycetes; Glomerales; Glomeraceae
Description: partial contains 5.8S ribosomal RNA and internal transcribed spacer 2
Rfam family: 5.8S ribosomal RNA (bases 1-71)
Source: RNAcentral